GAACGAGAAAGUGGAGCAAUCCAUGAGUAAAGUGGCGACCGGGUGAGUAACACGUGACUAACCUGCCUUCGAGUGGGGGAUAACCUCGGGAAACCGGGGCUAAUACCGCAUAAUGCCUUUGGGUUAAAGGAGCAAUUCGCUUGAAGAGGGGGUCGCGGCUGAUUAGCUAGUUGGCGGGGUAACGGCCCACCAAGGCGAUGAUCGGUAGCCGGCCUGAGAGGGCGCACGGCCACACUGGAACUGAAACACGGUCCAGACUCCUACGGGAGGCAGCAGUGGGGAAUUUUGCGCAAUGGGGGAAACCCUGACGCAGCAACGCCGCGUGGAGGAUGAAGUCCUUUGGGACGUAAACUCCUUUCGACCGGGACGAUAAUGACGGUACCGGUGGAAGAAGCCCCGGCUAACUUCGUG
Molecule: ribosomal RNA, 411 nt
Filed under: uncultured bacterium
Lineage: Bacteria
Description: bacterial SSU rRNA
Rfam family: Bacterial small subunit ribosomal RNA
Source: RNAcentral